This 433-nucleotide ribosomal RNA is filed under the name uncultured bacterium. RNAcentral's name for it is "partial 16S ribosomal RNA". It matches the Rfam family "Bacterial small subunit ribosomal RNA", at positions 29 to 507 of the family's 1533-position model. The record is from RNAcentral.
AACGAACGCUGGCGGCAUGCCUAACACAUGCAAGUCGAACGAGACCUUCGGUUCUAGUUGCGCACGGGUGCGUAACGCGUGGGAACCUGCCCUUAGGUUCGGAAUAACUCCCCGAAAGGGGUGCUAAUACCGGAUAAUGUCUUCGGACCAAAGAUUUAUCGCCUUUGGAUGGGCCCGCGUUGGUUUAGCUAGUUGGUAGGGUAAAAGCCUACCAAGGCGACGAUCCAUAGCUGGUCUGAGAGGAUGAUCAGCCACACUGGGACUGAGACACGGCCCAGACUCCUACGGGAGGCAGCAGUGGGGAAUAUUGGACAAUGGGCGAAAGCCUGAUCCAGCAAUGCCGGGUGAGUGAUGAAGGCCUUAGGGUUGUAAAGCUCUUUUACCCGGGAUGAUAAUGACAGUACCGGGAGAAUAAGCGCCGGCUAACUCCGUG